RNAcentral lists this ribosomal RNA (468 nucleotides) under uncultured bacterium. Its description in RNAcentral is "partial 16S ribosomal RNA". It matches the Rfam family "Bacterial small subunit ribosomal RNA", at positions 28 to 507 of the family's 1533-position model. The record is from RNAcentral.
GACGAACGCUGGCGGCGUGCUUAACACAUGCAAGUCGAACGGAAAGGCCCUGCCUUGGUGGGGUGCGCGAGUGGCGAACGGGUGAGUAACACGUGAGUAACCUGCCCUUGACUUUGGGAUAACUGCAGGAAACUGGGGCAAAUACCGGAUAGGAGCUCCUGCUGCAGGGUGGGGGUUGGAAAGUUUCGGCGGUUGGGGAUGGACUCGCGGCUUAUCUGCUUGGGGGUGGGGUAGUGGCUCACAAAGGCUUGGACGGGUGGCCGGCAUGGGGGGGUGACCGGCACCAUGGGGACUGAGUGAGGGCCCAGAGUCCAACGGGAGGCAGCGGUGGGAAACAUGGCCCAUCGGGCGCAAGCCUGUUGAGGCACCGCCGCGGGCGGAAUGAAGGCUUUCGGGUAAAAAACCGCUUUAGCCUGUGACAAACCGUGUGUGACGGUACCGGGAGAAGAAGCACCGGCUAACUACGUG